CUUUACAACAAUCAUUCAAGAAAGACAUCAUUUAUGUUCAAAAUAUAUUCUUCCAUCACUUAGAGAUGUCUGUGGGUCCCAUUUUCUCAGUAAUUUUGGACAUAUCAUUAUGUCUGCCCAUCAUAUCAUGGUUUUUCAUAUUAGGAAAUAAUGAGAAGGCAAGAGGUGAGCUAAACAAACAGGAUCAAAUUCCUUCACUUCCAAGCCUCUUCACCCCAACCUUUUAUUUAAACCUUUCAGUACUUAGAUCAUUGAUUUAUUACUUCUAAACAUAAUGAUCAAUAUAUGUACUUUCAUAGGUGCUUGAUAGAGAUACGUGUUUGUAAGAAAAAUACCGUAUCACAUUAAAGUUUUCUUAAUAGACUUUUGAGCCAUCCAGACAGUAUGCCAGAAUCAAGUAUAAAUUCUAUAAAAAGAAGCAAAAUAAUAACUGAAUAGUGAUUAAUGCAGUGUCUAGCAACUAUAUUAAUUUUAGAAAGAUAAACUUGGUGUCUAAUAGAACUUAUAGAAUAGUUACACAUUCUCAAGUUUCCAAUGCACCUUUGGGAUUAUUUGGCCUAUUUAAUUCUUUUUCUGACUGAAGAAAUGGAGACUAGAGAACUAAUUUGAUAUUUGGAGUAACAAAAACUGACUUGAUGAACUACUACAUAAAGACUGUGAUACUGGGCACAUCAUUUAAAUGCACUAGUCCUUGCUUUCCUUGUCUGCAAAAUGGGUGUAAUCAUGCCAAAUCCAUAUAAAGUUGUCCUAAGAUUAAGUGAAUAUAUAUAUAUCUGGCUCGCAAUAGCCAGACACUCAGAAAAUGUUACCUGUUUUUCUACCUCCUGUCCAAGAAUACCAGCUUGCCAUUGACAGAUGUUUGCACAUUCAUUUAGUGAAUGCUUUCUUGAUUUUGUUUUUGGUUGUUUUCUUGAAUCUGAUUUCUAUUGUAUCUUUUUCACGACUCACCUGUGUUCAUCUGCUUUUGUGUUAAAACACUAUCUGGUUUCAGAUUAUUUAGGACUUUUGGAAAAUUGAUCUUCAUAACAGUAUCUCAAUAUAGCAUAUUUGAUGUUGUUUUUUAUCUUAAUCCCUGUUGUUUCACAUUUGUAUAAUUGCUUCGUCUUUCAUUUUGAGUAUUUUACCUAUUUCAUUUGCAUGUCAUGUUUUAAAAUUAUUCUGUUCCUUUUAGUGUUUGUAAUGAAUUUACGUCCCCAUAGAUUACCCAGAAGCUCCACCCAUCUGGGAAUUUUCACCGUAUCCAUCACUCCUAUUACAAAAUCACAUAUAAGAGAGAAUCUGUUUCACAGUCAGUACUUAACACAGCUGGAAUCAUUUGAAACCUGCUGGUUCUUGCUUCCAAUUAUUCCAUAGACUGGAAAGCAUCCCUGUUGAAGUAAUGGCAUCCAUGGUGUAAUCAAACCAGCUAAAAUGCCUCAAAGUAUAUGGAUCAUAUUUCUGAGAUUGAUUGAAUUCAUGGUAGAAGCAUAAUCACCAACAGCUUUUACUAUUUUUCUUAAUUUAACUUAUAUUCAUUUUAUAAGUAAGUUUUUCAUGUCUCAAUAUACAAGUUUGUAAUGUUUGAGUAUGUGAGUGACAUAAUAACAUAAAUGAGACACAACAAAUAAAAAUAUUACACACUACGGUAGUACCCCAAAAAUACCUUUUGAUAAUAUCCUGGGGCCAAAAUCAUUUCCUUUUGUUGGAACAGCUGAAACCAUCACGAUAAAGUUACUGAUUUGUAUUUAGAGCAGAAUGUAGUGGAGAUUUGUUACUAGUUCAAUUAACUUUAUCAACUAAAUAAGAAGUAGAUAUAGUCAAAUUUCAAUUGGCUUUGUUGUGAUUUUGAUUGAAUAAAUUAAAUAUGUAACUUCUUGUUGAACUU
Molecule: long non-coding RNA, 1864 nt
Filed under: Homo sapiens (human)
Lineage: Eukaryota; Metazoa; Chordata; Mammalia; Primates; Hominidae
Description: non-protein coding lnc-KLHL1-9:1
Source: RNAcentral